Molecule: ribosomal RNA, 460 nt
Filed under: uncultured bacterium
Lineage: Bacteria
Description: partial 16S ribosomal RNA
Rfam family: Bacterial small subunit ribosomal RNA
Source: RNAcentral
CCUACGGGUGGCAGCAGUGAGGAAUAUUGGUCAAUGGACGAGAGUCUGAACCAGCCAAGUAGCGUGAAGGAUGACUGCCCUAUGGGUUGUAAACUUCUUUUGUAUGGGAAUAAUAUGUUCCACGUGUGGAGUUUUGUAUGUACCAUAUGAAUAAGCAUCGGCUAACUCCGUGCCAGCAGCCGCGGUAAUACGGAGGAUCCGAGCGUUAUCCGGAUUUAUUGGGUUUAAAGGGAGCGUAGGUGGACUGUUAAGUUAGUUGUGAAAGUUUGCGGCUUAACCGUAAAAUUGCAGUUUAUACUGGCAGUCUAGAGUACAGUAGAGGUAGGCGGAAUACGUGGAGUAGCGGUGAAAUGCUUAGAUAUAACGAAGAACACCGAUAGCGAAGGCAGCUCACUGGACUGCAACUGACACUGAGGCACGAGAGUGUGGGUAUCAAACAGGAUUAGAUACCCUGGUAGUC